Molecule: long non-coding RNA, 428 nt
Organism: Pantherophis guttatus
Lineage: Eukaryota; Metazoa; Chordata; Lepidosauria; Squamata; Colubridae
Source: RefSeq, a predicted model, not a curated record
GUCGGAAUAAGUCUACCAAACCCAAACAGAUGAAUGUACUUCAGUACUUGGAGAACAUUUUAUACUCAUUAUGAAUGCAAUGCAAUAUCAAAAUAUGUCCCCUAGGACCAAAAUAUAAGCUGCCCAUCUCACAAGAAAGUGACUGUCCAAGGAUCACAAGAGGAAGUGAAAGAGUUAAAAUGUUGGAUGGAAUUAAGGCUCAGCACAUGCCACCACCCCACUUAGUUUUACGAUCAUAGAAUUCGAAGCAAGGAAAGAGUGUGUUUCAAGUUCUCAAUGCUCUAUAUUUCAGACACCCAAGAUUUGCUCUAUCAGAAGAUACAUUUUGAGCUUUCUUCUGUUGGAACUGUACAACUGAAAUAUUCUUACAGAACAAUCUGGACUGGGCGGUUUUGUUCUGGGCUCAGAAUAAACUAAGCUUUUUGUUA